Long non-coding RNA from Quercus robur (English oak), 1284 nucleotides. RefSeq lists it as uncharacterized. The transcript has 3 exons. The record is from RefSeq and is a predicted model, not a curated record. NCBI's taxonomy places the organism in Eukaryota, Viridiplantae, Streptophyta, Magnoliopsida, Fagales, Fagaceae.
UCAUCAACAUCAUCAUUAUAUGCCUUGACCCUUUUCUAGCGCAACCUGAUCCUCACCCUCCACUGCACCUCAACGCCAAUUCUCUCUCUCUCUCUCUCUCAAAUUGUCAGAAUUGCUAGUAAUUCGGAAAUCCUUUGCCUUUACACUUACAAACCACAAGAUGGGCUCAAACUCCACGCACGGAUCUUCAAGCAAAAAAGCGACAUCGUGAUAGUGCUACUGCUAGUCCACCCGUACUCGGUGAUGGCCUAAUAAGAGGUUCUCUCACAAUGUUGUUGCUGUCUGCAACUGGGUCUCGCUUUUUGUUGGACUCUGGUGGAUAGUUUGCUCAAUACUUUGUACAUUCCAUGUGUAAUUUCAGAUGGUGGAUCUGAUCAUGCAGGACUCCCGCAGCCUGACUGGUUAAACAUGUGCUUAAUGCUUGGAUACCAUUGCAAAAAUCAACAUAAGGACCUUGAUGAGGGUUUAAAAUUUUAAAUUUGCAGCUAUCACCACAGAAGGCCAAAUAUUUUGCAUGUCCUGGAUAUUUGAAAUAGAGAUUUCUGGGGAGUCAAUUUCAGUACAACCUUUAACAUCAAAGACAGCCAUUAUUACCAACAAAAUCUCUAGAUCUUAUACUUACAUGUUGUUCACUGCCCCUAAUACUAUUUUACAACCGAGUCCAUGCCGGUGCAAAUUUCACUUGAUGAAUGAAAAAAUCAAUGCUUUCUUUCGAGUUUCUGACAUCCAAAAUACCAAAGCAGGUACUAUUUUUCCAAGCGGGUCUUGCAUGAAGUGGAGAUACGAUCUUGGAGGCAAAAACCCAAAAAAUUAUACAGAAUGAGAUGCUGUCAACAUCACCAACUUGCUGCUCAUAUAAUUCCUAAACUCAACCGUCAUUUCAUAUUUGCUCAUUACCUUGAAAACAACCAAUCCUCAAACAGCCCAGCCUUGCAGUUGGUACCCAAUAGGUUCCACCGUAAUGCUGGUUUCUCCAUUAUCAUCCUACAGAUUGCCCAUUCAAGAGUGGCUGCUCUCCAUCUGCUUUGAAGCAAAAACAAAAUAGAUUCACAUAUUCAUAUUCACAAGAACAAGGAAAGAAAUAACAAAGAAAGAUGGGGGUCUGAAGCCCUUCAAAUGUAUGCCAUGGGAAUAUAAUAUAUAUGCACCUAUUCUUGACAGCCACAAAUGUAAGGUUGCUCUUAAACUAAUUGCUAAAACCUUAAUGGCUUGAUCAUUACUUUAUCUGGGUAAUCUAUCUACAAAUUAUCAGCCCUUAGAUGGGGUUUGGUGCCCCUUCCUCUA